UACGUAGGGUGCAAGCGUUGUUCGGAAUUACUGGGUGUAAAGGGUUCGUAGGCGGUGUGGCAAGUUGGGAGUGAAAUCUCUGGGCUCAACCCAGAGGCUGCUUCCAAAACUGCUGUGCUUGAGUGUGAGAGAGGCUCGUGGAAUUGCAGGUGUAGCGGUGAAAUGCGUAGAUAUCUGCAGGAACACCCGUGGCGAAAGCGGCGAGCUGGAUCACUACUGACGCUGAGGAACGAAAGCUAGGGGAGCAAACAGG
RNAcentral lists this ribosomal RNA (253 nucleotides) under uncultured bacterium. RNAcentral describes it as "partial 16S ribosomal RNA". It matches the Rfam family "Bacterial small subunit ribosomal RNA", at positions 524 to 776 of the family's 1533-position model. The record is from RNAcentral.